Molecule: long non-coding RNA, 371 nt
Filed under: Capsicum annuum
Lineage: Eukaryota; Viridiplantae; Streptophyta; Magnoliopsida; Solanales; Solanaceae
Description: long non-coding RNA (CANN_LNC017650)
Source: RNAcentral
GAAUAAUAACUAUCUGAAUUAUUUCUACCAUAGAAAUCUAUAUUUUCUAAUUCAUCUUCUAUCCAAUUAGUACUUAGUAACUCAUCUUUAUAAUCAAAUAUUUUUUCUCAUAUUAUUUUCUUUAUGUCUUCUAAUUCUAAGUCUUUUAUGAUAUAUAAAACUAGUAUCUUAGUUUCAUCAGAUAUAUAUCUUCUCAUAUUAUUCAUAUUAUGCUAAGGUUUCUACGAAUAACUUGGAUAACUUGGAAUUGGAUUCUAGUAAUUAAAUGCUUUAUCAUAGUAUUUAUUAGUUGUUUGUUUUAAUCUUAAUAAUUCCUCUAUAUUUUCAUUAAGGAAUUCUAUAUAUUUUAUAUCUUUAGUUCUCAUAUAUUN